RNAcentral lists this unclassified non-coding RNA (345 nucleotides) under soil metagenome. RNAcentral describes it as "partial contains 5.8S ribosomal RNA, internal transcribed spacer 2, and large subunit ribosomal RNA". The stretch from base 1 to 119 matches the Rfam family "5.8S ribosomal RNA", at positions 35 to 154 of the family's 154-position model. The record is from RNAcentral.
GAUGAAGAACGUAGUGAAAUGCGAUACGUAAUGUGAAUUGCAAAUUCAGUGAAUCAUCGAGUCUUUGAACGCACAUUGCGCCCCCUGGUAUUCCGGGGGGCAUGCCUGUCCGAGCGUCAUUGCUGCCCUCAAGCCCGGCUUGUGUGUUGGGCCCCGUCCUCCGAUUCCGGGGGACGGGCCCGAAAGGCAGCGGCGGCACCGCGUCCGGUCCUCGAGCGUAUGGGGCUUUGUCACCCGCUCUGUAGGCCCGGCCGGCGCUUGCCGAUCAACCCAAAUUUUUAUCCAGGUUGACCUCGGAUCAGGUAGGGAUACCCGCUGAACUUAAGCAUAUCAAUAAGCGGAGGA